GGAGGAGUGAAGCACCAUUGAGAAAGCAGCAGAGCUGUCUAUCAUGCCUUGGGGCAAACGAGUCCAAGUGUACUGCUUAUUUCUAUGUGUGAAUGCAAAUAACGGCUGUGUGUCUUCAUGAGAAAAAGGAGCGGAGCAUAAAUCCACCACGGUAAAAUGUGUAUGCAAUGCAUGUUAAUAUGCUGUGAACAUCUGAAACGAGAGGUGGCAGAGGAAUGUUGACUGCAUUAAUUUGCCUUAAGUCUUGUAUGAAACGCCAUACGCCAGGUUUGUUAGGCUUUGGCACAGGAUUGACAGGAGUGUGGGCUUUAUUGCUCCUGUAGUCAAUAAAUCUCCUAUGAUGACAUCUAGAGCUGCGGCUUUUUCCGUGGAAAGGGGACAUUGCCUGACAUAUACUCGCUUUUUGUUUUUUAGCUGUGCGUGAUAAGGUAUGCAGUCAAUAAAUCCUAUAUCAUUCUCACUUUUUGACCACAAUGUCAUAUUCUGGUAUUCAGCUGGCAACGUAAGUGCAGAAAUAGUACAGUGGAUAGGGUAGGUUAGAUCUAUGUGACGACAUAUUUCGUAACCUAUGUCUGAGUUAUGUAACAAAAUCACUGUUUGACCUUCACUUGUGUGAGCAGUUAUCAUGUUGUUGAACAGUGUGAGAGAAACAAAAGUGUGGCUCCCAGUCAUGGGAUUACCUGGUAGUGGCGUCUGUACACGUUUUUUUGGCACAGUGUGUGACAUAGAGUACCGGACAAAAAGGAUGUUGAGUUCAUUCUCUGCUGAGGGUCCAGCUGACACAGAGGAUGUUCCUUCUCCAUCAUGUCGGUACAUAGGGCAGAGAAAACAUAAGCUGUUAUCAGUGUCAGCAAACAUUUCACCCUUUAUGUUAAAUUAAAUACACAAAUUCAUUUUUGCUUUGGGUGUCUGCGGCUGCUGGAAAACUGAGCUAAAUUUGCACCUCUAGCUUGUCCAACAGUGCAUAAAGCGUUUUAUGAAUACUAGGAUGGAUUCAUCAGGCUUCUGUUUACACAUAGUUACUGCAUUUAAGUCAAUUUUGUCUCUGGACAUUGUUAGCAGGAAUUUCUUUAGAUUCUUAAAGAAAUCGGCGACUUUGUCAUUAUUUACCCUCCUUUUGUCCAUAGCGGUAACAUUUGAUGCAUCACGUCGCGGCAUUCUAUCAUGUAUUUUCUACAGGACUUUUUAAGCAGACUACUUUUCUUAUCACAAAUGAUAUUCAACAUUUCUACUGACCUGGUUUCUGGCGAUAAUCGUUCGGGAUAAGGCUCCGAAAAUAAAUUAGAAUGCAUUGAACUUCUUAAGUUGUAAACAAAGUCAGUCACAUAAGCACUCCCGCAUGUUCUGGAUACGUGAUCAUGGACGUCUUCACCGAUUCGCGGACGUAGGUUACACGUAACCGGAAAUGGGAGUUAUACUGAGCCGUUAUUUGAGACUUUAUUUUGUAUUUUAUUAAUUUUUGGUUUUACAGGUACUUUAGAUUUUUUAUCGGACCUGUCUGUGGUCUUUGAAUUAUUCUGACCCAUGUUCAGUGAUUUCCAGAGGGGUUUACACGCUAGGAGGAUUUAUGUUAGUAUUUUCGCUGCGGCACAGCUGAGGUCACUUUAAAUUUAUUGCUAGCAAUUUUUUGUUUGUGUGAGCAACUCUCACUUAGCGAGCAACUUCUCGCUUAACGAGCAACUUCUCGUAAAACAACAGGCAACUUCCUGUGUCUUUCUGCUUUUAAUUUACUGCUUUUAACCCUUGUAUGGUAAUCGGGUCUGUGAGACCCGUUUUCAGUUUUCUUUCGUUUUUUUUUUUUUUUUUUAACAAAAUUAAAUUAAAUUAUUUACUAGCUUUCUGUGAGUGAGCAACUUCUCACUUUUUAACGUACGUUUCAAGAUAACAGGCAACUUCCUGUGUCCACCAACACCACACAAGGGUUAAUUUACUUUAUUCGGGGACUGAGGAAGUCGUCAGUGUAUCUCUCUGGAUCACUAAGUGAAACUUCGUCAGCAUAUCCCGUUUCUUUAUGGAUCAAUCACUGAGAGAGGUAUAAUAGGUCUUUAUAUAAAUAUGAAAGACGCAUAUUUACCUUCUGUCAGGGAUCCCACUUCUGACACCAAAAAUUGAAGGAAAUUGCCUUCCCGGGUUUCCUCCGUGGCGUGAGCGAUAAGCAGAGUUCUGUCCUUUCCUUAUAAGAUUCCUAAUUAUUUAAAGUAACACUCAGGUAUGCCAUUCAGCUGGGUUAGUUACGACGUCGGGAGCAGCUUGGGAGAACAAGGAAACACAGACUGCUUCAGGUUGUCUUCCCAAA
Molecule: long non-coding RNA, 2296 nt
Organism: Astatotilapia calliptera (eastern happy)
Lineage: Eukaryota; Metazoa; Chordata; Actinopteri; Cichliformes; Cichlidae
Source: Ensembl